AUAAUACAGUGAUUCAACACUUCCAUACAAUACCUGGUGCUCAUCACAAUAAGUGCACUCCUUAAUCUCUAUCACCUACUUAACCCAUGCCCCCCAUCAACCUCCCCUCUGGUAACCAUCAGCUUAUUUUCUAUAGUUAAGAGUCUGUUUUUUUGUUUCCCUCU
Long non-coding RNA from Lynx canadensis (Canada lynx), 164 nucleotides. RefSeq lists it as uncharacterized. The transcript has 3 exons. The record is from RefSeq and is a predicted model, not a curated record. Lineage: Eukaryota; Metazoa; Chordata; Mammalia; Carnivora; Felidae.